GGAGGUGAAUCUGCCAUAGUCUUACAACACUCGAAAUCAGUUGAACCGCAAGGUUCCGUGGGUUCGAAUCCCACCCGCUCCGCCA
RNAcentral lists this transfer RNA (85 nucleotides) under Bacillota bacterium. Its description in RNAcentral is "tRNA-OTHER". Lineage: Bacteria; Bacillati; Bacillota. RNAcentral also lists the same sequence under 2 other names. The record is from RNAcentral.